This 413-nucleotide ribosomal RNA is filed under the name Sinosolenaia oleivora. Its description in RNAcentral is "partial 28S ribosomal RNA". The record is from RNAcentral. Lineage: Eukaryota; Metazoa; Mollusca; Bivalvia; Unionida; Unionidae.
UGGACCGCAUGACGUCGACCCGGGGGAUUCAACCAGGCCGUUGCGAUCGGGACGCGUGGGGGUUAUGCGGAGCUGUAAAGCCCGUGCCUCUGCGUGGGUCUCCGGGCGGACUGGUGCACUUUCCUCGGGUUGAUUGCCACGACCGGCUCUCCGUGCGGCCACAAGCCUGUCGCUGGGAAGGUGACCGUGGGCCCCGCGCCCGCGGUGUUACAGCCCAGCCUGUUCGUUGAGCUCGUCGGAGGGCCGAGGAAGUUGCCGUUUCUCAGCCACCCUCUGGCCAUCCUUGCUCGUCACGACUGGGGUGAACUGCUCGUCAGUGCUCUCCCGACCGCGAGCGUAGGAAGGGCUGGUACGGUGCGAGAAUUGCUUCGGGCCAGUGGCGAAUCGGUCGGUCCUCCACCCGACCCGUCUUG